This 505-nucleotide ribosomal RNA is filed under the name uncultured bacterium. RNAcentral's name for it is "partial 16S ribosomal RNA". It matches the Rfam family "Bacterial small subunit ribosomal RNA", at positions 28 to 507 of the family's 1533-position model. The record is from RNAcentral.
GACGAACGCUGGCGGCGUGCCUAAUACAUGCAAGUAGAACGCACAGUUUAUACCUUCGCUUGCUACACCAUAAACUGUGAGUUGCGAACGGGUGAGUAACGCGUAGGUAACCUGCCUGGUAGCGGGGGAUAACUAUUGGAAACGAUAGCUAAUACCGCAUAAUAUUGAUUAUUGCAUGAUAAUUGAUUGAAAGAUGCUAUUGCAUCACUACCAGAUGGACCUGCGUUGUAUUAGCUAGUAGGUGAGGUAACGGCUCACCUAGGCGACGAUACAUAGCCGACCUGAGAGGGUGAUCGGCCACACUGGGACUGAGACACGGCCCAGACGCCUACGGGAGGCAGCAGUAGGGAAUCUUCGGCAAUGGACGAAAGUCUGACCGAGCAACGCCGCGUGAGUGAAGAAGGGUUUCGGAUCGUAAAGCUCUGUUGUAAGAGAAGAACGGGUGUGAGAGUGGAAAGUUCACACUGUGACGGUAUCUUACCAGAAAGGGACGGCUAACUACGUG